This 27-nucleotide non-coding RNA is filed under the name Mus musculus (house mouse). The record is from RNAcentral. RNAcentral also lists the same sequence under 1 other name. Lineage: Eukaryota; Metazoa; Chordata; Mammalia; Rodentia; Muridae.
UGCAGCUGACAGUGUGUCUGGCCUGAU